RNAcentral lists this ribosomal RNA (466 nucleotides) under uncultured bacterium. RNAcentral's name for it is "partial 16S ribosomal RNA". It matches the Rfam family "Bacterial small subunit ribosomal RNA", at positions 339 to 795 of the family's 1533-position model. The record is from RNAcentral.
CUACGGGGCGCACCAGUGGGGAAUAUUGGACAAUGGGGGAAACCCUGAUCCAGCAAUGCCGCGUGUGUGAAGAAGGCCUGCGGGUUGUAAAGCACUUUCGGUUGGGAGGACUGCUUCUAGCACUAAUAUUGUUGGAAGUUGACGUUACCUUCAGAAGAAGCACCGGCUAACUCCGUGCCAGCAGCCGCGGUAAUAGCGGAGGGUGCAAGCGUUAAUCGGAAUUACUGGGCGUAAAGCGCGCGUAGGCGGCUAGAUAAGUCGGGUGUGAAAGCCCCGGGCUUAACCUGGGAACUGCAUCCGAUACUGGUUAGCUUGAGUACAGGAGAGGAGAGUGGAAUUCCACAUGUAGCGGUGAAAUGCGUAGAUAUGUGGAGGAACACCAAUGGCGAAGGCAGCUCUCUGGCCUGAUACUGACGCUGAGGUGCGAAAGCGUGGGGAGCAAACAGGAUUAGAUACCCGCGUAGUC